GGGUUAGUAGGUUGGUCAUGCCUCUGGUAUGUACUGGUCUCACUGAUUCCUCCUUCCUGAUGAACCUUAAUGCCAUUUAUUUGGUGUUUUGGGGGAUUUGGACUGUUACUUUGAAAAAAUUAGAGUGUUUAAAGCAAGCUCACGCUUGAAUACAUUAGCAUGGAAUAAUGAAAUAGGACAUUGUAUUCUAUUUUGUUGGUUUCUAGGAUCGAUGUA
This 216-nucleotide unclassified non-coding RNA is filed under the name uncultured Glomus. Its description in RNAcentral is "sequence contains 18S rRNA gene". The stretch from base 40 to 216 matches the Rfam family "Eukaryotic small subunit ribosomal RNA", at positions 686 to 864 of the family's 1831-position model. Lineage: Eukaryota; Fungi; Glomeromycota; Glomeromycetes; Glomerales; Glomeraceae. The record is from RNAcentral.